Molecule: long non-coding RNA, 460 nt
Filed under: Hordeum vulgare
Lineage: Eukaryota; Viridiplantae; Streptophyta; Magnoliopsida; Poales; Poaceae
Description: long non-coding RNA (HVUL_LNC013849)
Source: RNAcentral
CUCCUCCUCUUCCGUCUCCUCCUCCGUCUCCCCACUGUCAGAGACGUACUCGGCGCUAUCCGCGCUGCCCUCCUGGCUGCCCUCCUCUUCCUCGGCUGGAUUCCCGUUCGAGACUGCAGAAUGCCAGUUAGUCCACUCCUAUACAAAACACAGUCGGCAACGCCAGUUAGCGGGACAAGAAAAGCAAUAAAUCUAAGAAGAUUAAAAGCACUUGACAAGAUGUGCACACUUCAUUCGGAGGAGAAUUUUCGGUGCGGAAGGGCUUCACCCGCCGGGCUCCCACGGGGUUAUCACACACGCCUGUGAUGCCGCGGACCCACGCACUCACAGUCUCCCCGCUCACGUCCUCUGGAUGAGACCGAGUGGAAUCCGAAGGCCCUGCAUAGUGCCACAUGGCGUGGUGUCAGGCCUGCAGCGGCUGGAUGCGCCGACCCAGAAAAGUCUCCAGCAGGUCCGUGCG